CGUUGGCCCCCACGUUUCUGUCCGUAGUGUUCGGGCCUUCCAGCGAACCAGCUUUCACACCAGCCGUGCCGAAUGCCCCUCAGGUCGGCCAGACCGGGACGUCACACGUCGCUCCCCAGACCCACCGUCUGCAACCACAUCCCAAACAAGCCCGCCCCUCGCCCUUGCACAGGCCCCGCCUCCCAUCCCACCAGAACCCUGCAUGGGCAGAGCUUCGCCCCCUAGCUCGUAGGCUCGCCUCUGCGGUUGGCCCCACCCCCGCAGGCCCCGCCUUCUCUCCCAGACCUUGAGGAGUUUCCGCCCGGAGUGCAAGGGAGGAGACGCUUCGACGCCGGUGGUCCUUGGCUCCAGCCAUCUGGCCUCUAGAGAAUGAUCUCUCCACCAGCGAUGGGCAAGUAAUUCUGGUGAGGAAACUGAAACACAGAGAGGUUAAGGAACUUGCUCAAGGUCACACAGCUUGUAAGUGAUAGAGGCACAAUGUGAACUCCAGCCGUGCUGCCCCCAGACUGGGAGGACCUCAAGAACAGGUUAUGAUUUAAAUUGACUGAGUCUGGUAAUUUGGGGCCUCCCCGGGAAGCAGUGAUACCAGGUGGCUCUGAGGAGACAGUUCCAGCAAGAUGAUGGCCCUUGCUCAACAGCCUGAAGAAAAUGCCAAGGCCCAAGGCAAGAGGGCAGCAUUUGGGUUUAAGAACGCUAUCAGAUGGGGGUGCCUGGCUGGCUCAGUCGGUUAAUCGUCCAACUCUUGAUUUCGGCUCAAGUCAUGAUCUCCCCAUUCAUGAGUUCGAGCCCCAAAUCGGGCUCCGUGCUAACAUCUCAGAGCCUGGAGCCUGCUUCAGAUUCUGUGUCUCCCUCUCCCUCUGUUCCUCCCAU
Long non-coding RNA from Acinonyx jubatus (cheetah), 870 nucleotides. RefSeq lists it as uncharacterized. The transcript is spliced from 3 exons. The record is from RefSeq and is a predicted model, not a curated record. NCBI's taxonomy places the organism in Eukaryota, Metazoa, Chordata, Mammalia, Carnivora, Felidae.